GUUAGCAAGAUCUUUAAAUUCUUCUUUUGGAUCUUUAUUUCUAAAGGCGUAAAGACUAAAAAGCUCAAGCGCUUCAUAGUCGUGUAAAAGGUCAACCUCGUAUAUAUCUUCAACUCCACGAGCAAUCAGCAACUGUUUAUCUCUACCGGUAACUAUAAUAAUACUUCCAGGACCAAACCAAGAAGGUGAUCCAGCUAAAGCUUCCAAUUGGUUGUAAUCAUCUACAUCAUCUAGUACAACAAGUACCUGCCCAGAUGGUACCUUUUUGUUUGACAAACUUCUCUUUAUUAUGCUGACUCCGUGACCAAUGCUACGUAUCUUAAUAUUGCUUGCGUGCAUAAGACUCUCAAGAAGGUUUUCCUGGAGAUGGACUAAGCCAUGACGUUCUUCGGCACCUUUAAUAUCUUCACAAAAGCUGUAUGCCU
This 425-nucleotide long non-coding RNA is filed under the name Helianthus annuus (common sunflower). RNAcentral's name for it is "hypothetical non coding rna". Lineage: Eukaryota; Viridiplantae; Streptophyta; Magnoliopsida; Asterales; Asteraceae. The record is from RNAcentral.